UUAAGGUUUCCUGAGGAAGGCUCGUCCGCUCAGGGUUAGUCGGGACCUAAGCCGAGGCCGAAAGGCGUAGGCGAUGGACAACAGGUUGAUAUUCCUGUACCACCUCCUCACCAUUUGAGCAAUGGGGGGACGCAGGAGGAUAGGGUAAGCGCGGUAUUGGAUAUCCGCGUCCAAGCAGUUAGGCUGGGAAAUAGGCAAAUCCGUUUCCCAUAAGGCUGAGCUGUGAUGGCGAGCGAAAUAUAGUAGCGAAGUUCCUGAUUCCACACUGCCAAGAAAAGCCUCUAGCGAGGUGAGAGGUGCCCGUACCGCAAACCGACACAGGUAGGCGAGGAGAGAAUCCUAAGGUGAUCGAGAGAACUCUCGUUAAGGAACUCGGCAAAAUGACCCCGUAACUUCGGGAGAAGGGGUGCUCUGUUAGGGUGCAAGCCCGAGAGAGCCGCAGUGAAUAGGCCCAGGCGACUGUUUAGCAAAAACACAGGUCUCUGCGAAGCCGUAAGGCGAAGUAUAGGGGCUGACGCCUGCCCGGUGCUGGAAGGUUAAGAGGAGCGCUUAGCGUAAGCGAAGGUGCGAAUUGAAGCCCCAGUAAACGGCGGCCGUAACAAUAACGGUCCUAAGGUAGCGAAAUUCCUUGUCGGGUAAGUUCCGACCCGCACGAAAGGCGCAACGAUCUGGGCACUGUCUCAACGAGAGACUCGGUGAAAUUAUAGUACCUGUGAAGAUGCAGGUUACCCGCGACAGGACGGAAAGACCCCGUGGAGCUUUACUGCAGCCUGAUAUUGAAUGUUGGUACAGCUUGUACAGGAUAGGUAGGAGCCUUGGAAACCGGAGCGCCAGCUUCGGUGGAGGCAUCGGUGGGAUACUACCCUGGCUGUAUUGACCUUCUAACCCGCUGCCCUUAUCGGGCGGGGAGACAGUGUCAGGUGGGCAGUUUGACUGGGGCGGUCGCCUCCUAAAAGGUAACGGAGGCGCCCAAAGGUUCCCUCAGAAUGGUUGGAAAUCAUUCGCAGAGUGUAAAGGCACAAGGGAGCUUGACUGCGAGACCUACAAGUCGAGCAGGGACGAAAGUCGGGCUUAGUGAUCCGGUGGUUCCGCAUGGAAGGGCCAUCGCUCAACGGAUAAAAGCUACCCCGGGGAUAACAGGCUUAUCUCCCCCAAGAGUCCACAUUGACGGGGAGGUUUGGCACCUCGAUGUCGGCUCAUCGCAUCCUGGGGCUGUAGUCGGUCCCAAGGGUUGGGCUGUUCGCCCAUUAAAGCGGUACGCGAGCUGGGUUCAGAACGUCGUGAGACAGUUCGGUCCCUAUCCGUCGCGGGCGCAGGAAAUUUGAGAGGAGCUGUCCUUAGUACGAGAGGACCGGGAUGGACGCGCCGCUGGUGUACCAGUUGUUCUGCCAAGGGCAUCGCUGGGUAGCUAUGUGCGGACGGGAUAAGUGCUGAAAGCGUCUAAGCAUGAAGCCCCCCUCAAGAUGAGAUUUCCCAUUCCGCAAGGAAGUAAGAUCCCUGAAAGAUGGUCAGGUUGAUAGGUCUGAGGUGGAAGUGUGGCGACACAUGGAGCUGACAGAUACUAAUCGAUCGAGGACUUAACC
RNAcentral lists this ribosomal RNA (1583 nucleotides) under metagenome. RNAcentral describes it as "bacterial LSU rRNA". It matches the Rfam family "Bacterial large subunit ribosomal RNA", at positions 1345 to 2925 of the family's 2925-position model. The record is from RNAcentral.